UUUUCUUUUCUAAUAUCUAGCAUCGUCUUUCGAAUGUCCUUACACAUUACACGCUGCCGGAAGGAUUAUGAUCCUUCCAAGCAGCUCAUUAAUUGUUGACAGAAGUACGCUCAUUAAUUGUUGACAGAAGUACGCUCAUUAAUUGUUGACAGAAGAAGACAAAGGAAGCCUUCUGUACAUCGCUUACUAUGUGCCCAAAGUGUAUCUGAGAAAACGUAUUUUUCCUUUGAUUGCAAGACAUCAUCACCUGAAAUAUGACUUCUUUGUAAGAUUUUUCUUUAAUUUAUCACCAUGUUUUGAUGUUGUGAUAUUUUCACUUUAUGAUAUGCUAAUGAUUACAAUACAAAAAUCUUCUCCAUAAAUA
Xenia sp. Carnegie-2017 is the source of this 364-nucleotide long non-coding RNA. RefSeq lists it as uncharacterized. NCBI's taxonomy places the organism in Eukaryota, Metazoa, Cnidaria, Anthozoa, Malacalcyonacea, Xeniidae. The transcript has 3 exons. The record is from RefSeq and is a predicted model, not a curated record.